AAGCGCUUGCAACCAGACUUGAGCGCGGCGGUUCCCCCUUCCUUUUGGUUGGGUUACUCCGCCGUGUCCAGGCCAACAUCGGUUCUGGGGGUCGGUUAAAGGCCUGGGGAAUGUAUCUACUCCUUCGGGGGUAGACUUAUAGCCCCGGGUGUCAUGCGACCACCUAGGACCGAGGAACGCGCUUCGGCUCGGAUGUUGGCGUAAUGGUUGUCAGCGA
This 217-nucleotide ribosomal RNA is filed under the name Exophiala oligosperma. RNAcentral describes it as "partial large subunit ribosomal RNA". Lineage: Eukaryota; Fungi; Ascomycota; Eurotiomycetes; Chaetothyriales; Herpotrichiellaceae. The record is from RNAcentral.